Molecule: non-coding RNA, 72 nt
Organism: Lipotes vexillifer (Yangtze River dolphin)
Lineage: Eukaryota; Metazoa; Chordata; Mammalia; Artiodactyla; Lipotidae
Source: the annotation of a RefSeq genome assembly
UCCCUGGUGGUCCAGUGGUUAGGACUUCGCCUUCCAAAGCAGGAGGUGCAGGUUCGAUCCCUGGCUGGGGAG